UGUCUGUUUAAGGUUACAUACAUCAAAUAAAUAGGGUAGGUAGGUCGGUAUUUCCAUUUUAUUUUAUUUUUUUCAUUUUAAUUUUUUGGCAUGAUUUUAGAGUCAUGCGGUUUUAUCUUGUCAUGGGUCGAGUUCACCUGUAUUUUUAAAGAUUGAAUUAUUUCCCUUUGUUAUUGGUUGGAAAAAAUGGUGGCAAAGUGUUUAUUUCAUCACACGAGUUGCGAAAUUUCCUUAAAACAGCUGCCAUAUUUAUGAUUGUGAACAUUAGGAUGUAUCAGGCAAUUGACUUAUAUUAUUGGCAACGCUACAAAAAUGUAAAUGCACUUUUGACUCUAGUUCAGUUUAUUUUUCACUUUACGACGGAAAUAAAAUGACUAUUUAAAGGGUCGGUGCUCAAAAAUAGGGUAGGUCAGGUAACCGUAAACAGACAUAUAUUUUUUUGGCCUUAGGAAAGACUAAAAGAAGCAAUAAUCUGAGGCUUAUUAAUAUGUAGUUUGCUCAUCACGACUGCCUACUUUGACAUAUUAGUUUUAUAUAUAUAUAUAUAAUAAUUAUUAUCAGUAUUAAAAUUGAAUAGUCAC
This 581-nucleotide long non-coding RNA is filed under the name Mytilus galloprovincialis (Mediterranean mussel). The record is from RNAcentral. Lineage: Eukaryota; Metazoa; Mollusca; Bivalvia; Mytilida; Mytilidae.